RNAcentral lists this ribosomal RNA (559 nucleotides) under uncultured bacterium. RNAcentral's name for it is "partial 16S ribosomal RNA". It matches the Rfam family "Bacterial small subunit ribosomal RNA", at positions 355 to 1376 of the family's 1533-position model. The record is from RNAcentral.
UGGGGAAUCUUGCGCAAUGGGCGAAAGCCUGACGCAGCCAUGCCGCGUGAAUGAUGAAGGUCUUAGGAUUGUAAAUUCUUUCACCGGGACGAUAAUGACGGUACCCGGAGAAGAAGCCCCGGCUAACUUCGUGCCAGCAGCCGCGGUAAUACGAAGGGGGCUAGCGUUGCUCGGAAUUACUGGGCGUAAAGGGAGCGUAGGCGGACAUUUAAGUCAGGGGUGAAAUCCCGGGGCUCAACCUCGGAAUUGCCUUUGAUACUGGGUGUCUUGAGUGUGAGAGAGGUAUGUGGAACUCCGAGUGUAGAGGUGAAAUUCGUAGAUAUUCGGAAGAACACCAGUGGCGAAGGCGACAUACUGGCUCAUUACUGACGCUGAGGCUCGAAAGCGUGGGGAGCAAACAGGAUUAGAUACCCUGGUAGUCCACGCCGUAAACGAUGAUUGCUAGUUGUCGGGAUGCAUGCAUUUCGGUGACGCAGCUAACGCAUUAAGCAAUCCGCCUGGGGAGUACGGUCGCAAGAUUAAAACUCAAAUGAAUUGACGGGGUCAUAGCUGUUUCCUG